GGUCCCGCCUGCCCAGUGAAAUUUUUAACGGCCGCGGUAUUCUAACCGUGCAAAGGUAGCGUAAUCACUUGUCUUCUAAAUAAAGACUCGUAUGAACGGCUAAAUGAGGACGGGCCUGUCUCCUGUGUCCAAUCAGUGAAACUGAUCUUCCAGUACAAAAGCUGGAAUAUAACCAUAAGACGAGAAGACCCUGUGGAGCUUCUAGUGUUAGGUUUUUAGUUGGGGCGACUUCGGAACAAAGUAAAACUUCCGAGUACAAAGGCUGACCCAGUCUUACUGAACAACGAACCAAGUUACCCCAGGGAUAACAGCGCCAUCUUCUUCAAGAGUCCAUAUCGACAAGAAGGUUUACGACCUCGAUGUUGGAUCAGGACACCCAAAUGGUGCAGCCGCUAUUAAAGGUUCGUUUGUUCAACGAUUAACAGUCCUACG
This 432-nucleotide ribosomal RNA is filed under the name Dravidoseps nilgiriensis. Its description in RNAcentral is "Subdoluseps nilgiriensis partial 16S large subunit ribosomal RNA". It matches the Rfam family "Bacterial large subunit ribosomal RNA", at positions 1851 to 2600 of the family's 2925-position model. The record is from RNAcentral. Lineage: Eukaryota; Metazoa; Chordata; Lepidosauria; Squamata; Scincidae.